This 474-nucleotide long non-coding RNA is filed under the name Nicotiana benthamiana. Its description in RNAcentral is "long non-coding RNA (NBEN_LNC006621)". Lineage: Eukaryota; Viridiplantae; Streptophyta; Magnoliopsida; Solanales; Solanaceae. The record is from RNAcentral.
AGCAGGAUACAUUGAAAUAUAAUGAAAAAAAUAGUGAAUACAAUGAAAUACGGCGAGAUGCAUUGAAUUACAAUGAAACAAAACAUAAUAAAUACAAUGAAAUACAUGAAAAUACAUUGAAAUAUAUUAACAGAAAAUCAAGUUGUUCAGCCCCAAACUCCAUCGUCUUUGUUCAAGACCCUAAUUUUCGGCGAAUCCGCUGUCGAGCAAAAACCAUGAAUCACCGGGGUUGCAACUCUAACAAUAACGUUCCUUUUCACCUUCUUCUUUUCCGUUUUAGCCUAUUCUUUUCCCAUUGGCGACAUAAAAAAUAACUCUAUGAAGGAAAUUUCCCCCACCAACCAUGGCUGAGAUUGCACCAACUAUUAACAAUUAAGAAAGUGAAGCAAUAGAUAAAUAACUAUAGUUUUUUAUUAAGAAAAAUAAAAAAAGAAGCAAACGGAACAGACGGGAUUGAUGAAACCCUAACUUCCA